GUAGCAGGUACAAUUACAGUGCUUUGUUUUGUGGAAGUACUGCCAUUAUCCUGCUGAAAAGUCACACUGAUUGUGUUUGAGUUUUGCUUUUAUGAGGAUAAAAUCAUGACAGUUUGAUGGGGAUAAUU
Molecule: small nucleolar RNA, 128 nt
Filed under: Castor canadensis (American beaver)
Lineage: Eukaryota; Metazoa; Chordata; Mammalia; Rodentia; Castoridae
Description: Small nucleolar RNA SNORA69 (ENSCCNG00000010218.1)
Rfam family: Small nucleolar RNA SNORA69
About the family: U69 is a member of the H/ACA class of small nucleolar RNAs (snoRNAs) which act as guides in the the modification of uridines to pseudouridines.
Source: Rfam by way of RNAcentral